Pyrenochaeta sp. DS3sAY3a is the source of this 81-nucleotide transfer RNA. It matches the Rfam family "tRNA". Rfam says of the family: Transfer RNA (tRNA) molecules are approximately 80 nucleotides in length. Their secondary structure includes four short double-helical elements and three loops (D, anti-codon, and T loops). The record is from Rfam. NCBI's taxonomy places the organism in Eukaryota, Fungi, Ascomycota, Dothideomycetes, Pleosporales, Cucurbitariaceae.
GGCGUGGUGGCGGAGUGGUUAUCGCGCAAGACUAGAAAUCUUGUUCCCUCGGGAGCGUCAGUUCGAAUCUGGCCCACGUCG